Trichobilharzia regenti is the source of this 73-nucleotide non-coding RNA. NCBI's taxonomy places the organism in Eukaryota, Metazoa, Platyhelminthes, Trematoda, Strigeidida, Schistosomatidae. The record is from Rfam.
GCGUCGGUGGCACAGUGGUUAGGACUCUCGCCCACCAUGCACAUGGUUCGGGGUUCGAACCCCCGCCGACGCA